GAAAUGCGAUAAGUAAUGUGAAUUGCAGAAUUCAGUGAAUCAUCGAAUCUUUGAACGCACCUUGCGCUCCUUGGUAUUCCUUGGAGCAUGCCUGUUUGAGUAUCAUGAAAUCUUCAAAGUAAAUCUUUUGUUAACUCAAUUGGUUUCUACUUUGGUAUUGGAGGUCUUUGCAGCUUCACACCUGCUCCUCUUUGUUCAUUAGCUGGAUCUCAGUGUUAUGCUUGGUUCCACUCGGCGUGAUAAGUUAUCUAUCGCUGAGGACACUGUAAAAGGUGGCCAAGGUAAAUGCAGAUGAACCGCUUCUAAUAGUCCAUUGACUUGGACAAUACUUUUAUGAUCUGAUCUGAAAUCAGGUAGGAAUACCCGCUGAACUUAAGC
Molecule: unclassified non-coding RNA, 378 nt
Filed under: plant metagenome
Description: partial contains 5.8S ribosomal RNA, internal transcribed spacer 2, and large subunit ribosomal RNA
Rfam family: 5.8S ribosomal RNA (bases 1-105)
Source: RNAcentral